AUGUUUUGCAUCUUAACAUCUUCCAUUGCAUUGAUUCCUGAGAUAAUGUUGCUAAUAAUUCUGCAUGAACAUAUACUAUGCCUAGUUAUGCAUAGGGCACUCCUAAUGCAUCAUAUCUUAAGUUAUAUUACAUCCGUACCAAAAUAUAAGACAUUUUUAAAGGCUAAACUACCCUACAAAAACGUACAUUUUGAUAUGGAGCUUGUAUCAUCAUAUACAUUAAAUAUGUGUUUAGAUACAACUUCCCUGAUGGUUUUUAUCUUAGUGUUGUAUCUAGAAGUGCUCUCAUUUAAUAUGUUUUGUUAG
This 306-nucleotide ribosomal RNA is filed under the name Triticum aestivum (bread wheat). Its description in RNAcentral is "partial small subunit ribosomal RNA". Lineage: Eukaryota; Viridiplantae; Streptophyta; Magnoliopsida; Poales; Poaceae. The record is from RNAcentral.